UCUAAAAUUUUCAUUGGCUUCAUUACUUCA
RNAcentral lists this non-coding RNA (30 nucleotides) under Mus musculus (house mouse). Lineage: Eukaryota; Metazoa; Chordata; Mammalia; Rodentia; Muridae. The record is from RNAcentral.